UACACGACCGUACCGCAAACCGACACUGGUGCGCGAGAUGAGUAUUCUAAGGCGCUUGAGAGAACUCAGGAGAAGGAACUCGGCAAAUUGACACCGUAACUUCGGAAGAAGGUGUGCCUUUAGUAGGUGAACCUGUACAAGGGGAGCCCAAUGAGGUUGCAAAAAAUCGGUGGCUGCGACUGUUUAAUAAAAACACAGCACUCUGCAAACACGAAAGUGGACGUAUAGGGUGUGACGCCUGCCCGGUGCUGGAAGAUUAAAUGAUGGGGUGCAAGCUCUUGAUUGAAGUCCCAGUAAACGGCGGCCGUAACAAUAACGGUCCUAAGGUAGCGAAAUUCCUUGUCGGGUAAGUUCCGACCUGCACGAAUGGCGUAACGAUGGCCACACUGUCUCCUCCUGAGACUCAGCGAAGUUGAAAUGUUUGUGAUGAUGCAAUCUCCCCGCGGAAAGACGGAAAGACCCCAUGAACCUUUACUGUAGCUUUGUAUUGGACUUUGAACAGAUCUGUGUAGGAUAGGUGGGAGGCUUUGAAGUGUGGUCGCUAGAUCGCAUGGAGCCAACGUUGAAAUACCACCCUGGUGUGUUUGAGGUUCUAACCUAGGCCCGUAAUCCGGGUCGGGGACAGUGCAUGGUAGGCAGUUUGACUGGGGCGGUCUCCUCCCAAAGCGUAACGGAGGAGUUCGAAGGUACGCUAGGUACGGUCGGACAUCGUGCUAAUAGUGCAAUGGCAUAAGCGUGCUUAACUGCGAGACUGACAAGUCGAGCAGAUGCGAAAGCAGGACAUAGUGAUCCGGUGGUUCUGUAUGGAAGGGCCAUCGCUCAACGGAUAAAAGGUACUCUGGGGAUAACAGGCUGAUACCGCCCGAGAGUUCAUAUCGACGGCGGUGUUCGGCACCUCGAUGUCGGCUCAUCUCAUCCUGGGGCUGUAGCCGGUCCCAAGGGUAUGGCUGUUCGCCAUUUAAAGAGGUACGUGAGCUGGGUUUAAAACGUCGUGAGACAGUUUGGUCCCUAUCUUCCGUGGGCGCUGCAGAUUUGAGGAAGCCUGCUCCUAGUACGAGAGGACCGGAGUGGACACACCUCUGGUGUAUCGGUUGUCACGCCAGUGGCAUUGCCGAGUAGCUAUGUGUGGAAGAGAUAACCGCUGAAAGCAUCUAAGCGGGAAACUCGUUUCAAGAUGAGAUCUGCCGGGGCCUUGAGCCCCCUAAAGAGUCGUUCAAGACCAGGACGUUGAUAGGUCGGGUGUGGAAGCGCAGUAAUGCGUUAAGCUAACCGAUACUAAUUACUCGUGCGGCUUGACCCC
RNAcentral lists this ribosomal RNA (1300 nucleotides) under metagenome. RNAcentral describes it as "bacterial LSU rRNA". It matches the Rfam family "Bacterial large subunit ribosomal RNA", at positions 1635 to 2925 of the family's 2925-position model. The record is from RNAcentral.